This 292-nucleotide ribosomal RNA is filed under the name uncultured bacterium. RNAcentral's name for it is "partial 16S ribosomal RNA". It matches the Rfam family "Bacterial small subunit ribosomal RNA", at positions 505 to 796 of the family's 1533-position model. The record is from RNAcentral.
GUGCCAGCCGCCGCGGUAAUACAGAGGUGGCAAGCGUUGUUCGGAAUUACUGGGCGUAAAGGGCGCGUAGGCGGCUCUUUUAGUCAGACGUGAAAUCCCCCGGCUUAACCUGGGAACUGCGUCUGAUACUGGAGAGCUUGAGUGCGGGAGAGGGAUGUGGAAUUCCAGGUGUAGCGGUGAAAUGCGUAGAUAUCUGGAGGAACACCGGUGGCGAAGGCGGCAUCCUGGACCGACACUGACGCUGAUGCGCGAAAGCUAGGGGAGCAAACGGGAUUAGAUACCCUUGUAGUCC